Dromiciops gliroides (monito del monte) is the source of this 128-nucleotide small nuclear RNA. The record is from RefSeq and is a predicted model, not a curated record. Lineage: Eukaryota; Metazoa; Chordata; Mammalia; Microbiotheria; Microbiotheriidae.
CUGCCCCAAAAUGGAAGUGACAUUAGCACUCCCCUUGAUAAAGAUGGAAGAGGUCCUAGUGGCCUUUACAACAUAUAUAUGGCUAAGGCAUUUCCACAGUACUCUGUGGCAUCUAACCAAUAUUUCAC